This is a small nuclear RNA of Pipistrellus kuhlii (Kuhl's pipistrelle), 106 nucleotides long. Lineage: Eukaryota; Metazoa; Chordata; Mammalia; Chiroptera; Vespertilionidae. The record is from RefSeq and is a predicted model, not a curated record.
GCUCUCUUCGGCAGGAUAUAUACUAAAAUUGGAAUGAUACAGAGAAGAUUAGCAUGGCCCCUAAGAAAAUUUUCAAAAUAGUAAAAUGGAAGUAGGUAAAAUUCAC